UAAUGAAGGUGAUCCAGAAAUAUAUUGGCUGUCAAAGUUGCAUCACUGGCUUGCUUUUUUUUUUUUUUUAAUGCUGGAAGAUAAAGUGGCUACCUCUGAGACAAGUUUUUCAAAACUCCAUUUUCCACCAGUUCUGUUGCAAUCUCUAGGUGUUAUAAUCAAGAAAUUAAAAAUGCUUAAUCACUGAAAAUUGAUCAAUUAUUGGUUUGCUUCCACUUCUACCCAGGUCACGUAAAACAUGCAUUCGGACCACAGAUUUUCAGAGAAGUGUAGCUCAUAAAAAUUAUUGAAGCUUGUGAAGAAUGGAUGUGAUCAUCUAAAUUACUUAAAACAACUAAAAGGAAAACUCAAAUACAUUAAUGAUUUUUAUCUUCACAUGAAUAAGAAAAGUUUUUUUAAGUCCAUGUUGAUAGAAAAUUGUAUUCAAGUCAUUAAAAGAGACAUGAGUGCCCAAUAUUCCUCUCAAAAAGAAAAUGUUGAACCACAAGAGGUUGUAGCUUUUGGAAUGAAGCUAAAUGUGACCAGAAUUUUUUUUUUUUUUUUUUUUUUGAGAUGGAGUCUUGCUCUAUCGCCCGGGCUGGAAUGCAAUGGCACGAUCUUGGCUCACUGCAACCUCCACUUCCUGGGUUCCAGCAAUUCUUGCCUCAGCCUCCCAAGUAGCACUGGCUAAUUUUUGUAUUUUUAGUAGAGACAGGGUUUCACCACGUUGGCCACCACGAACUUCUGACCUCAGGUGAUCCACCCGCCUUGGCCUCCCAAAGUGCUGGGAUUACAGGCAUGAGCCACCGUGCCCAGCCGAUGACCAGAAAUUUAUAAAAUCAUCAGGUAGGCCAAAGGAGAUGAAGAAUGUAAAGUCAGAGACUUUUUUAAAUAUUAAGGAUUUUCUUCCUGAAGUAAUGCUCAAAAUGUCCAUUACCUAAGUCUUCAGUUGUAAUGCAUCUACAUUUAAGUAUUAAUUAAUUAAUUAAGUAUACAGCAAAGAGCUCAGCUGGCUCAAACUGGACAUCUCUGGUAUCAAAAUAUGACUUCCUUGAUUUGUAUGGUAGGCCUAAACACUGAUUCUCAACCAAGAGAUUGUGCUACCUUAGGGGACUUUUGGCAAAAAUAUCUGGACUCACUUUCAGAUAUCACCACUUGGGGUAGGAGGGGGUGUGCUUGUGGCAUCCAGUGGGUAGAAAAGGUGCUGCUAAAUAUCCUACAAUGCACAAGACAGCUCUCAACAGUGAAUUAUCCAGUCUGAAAUGUUAAUAGUGCUGAGGUUGAGAAACCCUGGCCCAGACCCAAUCUUAAUAGGGCAACUGAUAAGAAUAGUGUAAAAAAAAAAAUUAUAAAGGAUGGUUUUCAAGAAUGCAAUAAAACUACCACUAUAGUAGAAACUGUAGAGUCCAUAGAGAAGACAGCUUCUGUCAAUAUCACAUAAAUGCAUAUAUGAUUACUCCAUAGCUUAAUUCACAGUGUUUUAGCACAUAAUGGUGCUUCUGCAGCAAUGUUAGAAGUAGCCCAGACUCUGGUUUUCAAGUAAAAGAUAAACUUCUUGCUGAGAAAAUAUCAUAUUUUAUUCUGUGUGAGUGUUGCAUUGUUUCAUGUGAAGCAUCAGAAUGUGAGUAAAAUGGAAAUUCCCAUCUUUAUAUCUGGCAGUUGAUUUUGGCUUGGUCUGAGAGCAGAAUUUUUGUAUUCUUGGUAUGUCUAGGAGCCAAAAAAGUACAAAUAUGAUUUAGACAUUAUUUGAAGGGAGAUAGUACUACUGGCAUCACUCUAAAAAUUUUCAGAAGAAAAAUUGUUUAGACCUUGGGAAAAAACAAAGUCAAGAAAAUGAAUUUCAACAAGAAACACAUUACUUACAUGAUUUAAUAGAUAAUUUUGGCCCUGAAACUAAGUUUGUGUUUCCUUAAAAUUUAUUACUUGAGGAUAUGAGAGACCAAAUUUGUAGCUGAUAUUGACAACAAUUUAUUGUGGAGGCAAGGAUUAUUGAUAUUCUUCUUGUAGUGGGAAAAACCAUACAAUUGUAGUUGUCUUCCUUGAAUUACUGAAAUUAGAAUGUUUCUGAACUAAAAGUCUGUUGGCAGCAGAAUUGUUCUUCUUUGGCCUUUGUGUAAUGUGAUCAGCCUAUUUUUUUUUUUUUUUUGGUAUUGGAAAUUUGUUAAGACCUCUGUUAGCAUUGUAAGAUUUACCUGCAUUUUUGCUGAAACACUUAAGGACUAAAUAUUAUGUGCAAAAUUAUUUUAUUUUAGAGGUGAACAAUCUAAGAGGUGACUAGCUUAUUUGACAGCAUUGUUGAGUCAGUUUAGCAUUAUGUACUAUCAUUAAAAUAACGAACAAUCUAUAUAGUAUUCAGAAUAUUUAGAACAUGUACUAGGAGUCCACUCUUCUUCAAUAUACCUGUUGGCCUUACCUGCCUUGGAUUAUUGAUCUGUG
Molecule: long non-coding RNA, 2415 nt
Filed under: Homo sapiens (human)
Lineage: Eukaryota; Metazoa; Chordata; Mammalia; Primates; Hominidae
Description: non-protein coding lnc-ZNF330-4:1
Source: RNAcentral